This 649-nucleotide ribosomal RNA is filed under the name uncultured bacterium. RNAcentral's name for it is "bacterial SSU rRNA". It matches the Rfam family "Bacterial small subunit ribosomal RNA", at positions 62 to 733 of the family's 1533-position model. The record is from RNAcentral.
UCGAACGGACCCCAGCAAUGGGGUUAGUGGCGGACGGGUGAGUAACACGUGAGCAACCUGCCCUAUGCAACGGGAUAACACUGAGAAAUUAGUGCUAAUACGGUAUAAGACCACGCGAAGGCAUCUUCGAGGGGUAAAAGCUUUAGCGGCAUAGGAGGGGCUCGCGGCCCAUUAGAUAGUUGGUGAGGUAACGGCCCACCAAGUCGACGAUGGGUAGCCGACCUGAGAGGGUGAUCGGCCACAUUGGAACUGAGAUACGGUCCAAACUCCUACGGGAGGCAGCAGUGGGGAAUAUUGGGCAAUGGAGGCAACUCUGACCCAGCAACGCCGCGUGAAUGAAGAAGGCCUUCGGGUUGUAAAGUUCUUUAAUGGGGGACGAAGAAAGUGACGGUACCCCAAGAAUAAGCCACGGCUAACUACGUGCCAGCAGCCGCGGUAAUACGUAGGUGGCAAGCGUUGUCCGGAAUGACUGGGCGUAAAGGGAGCGUAGGCGGCGCGGUAAGUUAGGAGUGAAAUCCCGGGGCUCAACCCCGGAACUGCUUUUAAAACUGCCGUGCUUGAGUGAUGGAGAGGAAAGCGGAAUUCCUAGUGUAGCGGUGGAAUGCGUAGAUAUUAGGAGGAACACCAGAGGCGAAGGCGGCUUUCUGGA